CCUACGGGGGGCUGCAGUGGUGAAUAUUGGACAAUGGGGGCAACCCUGAUCCAGCCAUGCCGCGUGUGUGAAGAAGGCCCUCGGGUUGUAAAGCACUUUCAGUGAGGAAGAACGCCUGGUGGUUAAUACCCAUCAGGAAAGACAUCACUCACAGAAGAAGCACCGGCUAACUCCGUGCCAGCAGCCGCUGUAAUACGGAGGGUGCGAGCGUUAAUCGGAAUUACUGGGCGUAAAGCGCGCGUAGGUGGCUUGAUAAGCCGGUUGUGAAAGCCCCGGGCUCAACCUGGGAACGGCAUCCGGAACUGUCAAGCUAGAGUGCAGGAGAGGAAGGUAGAAUUCCCGGUGUAGCGGUGAAAUGCGUAGAGAUCGGGAGGAAUACCAGUGGCGAAGGCGGCCUUCUGGACUGACACUGACACUGAGGUGCGAAAGCGUGGGUAGCAAACAGGAUUAGAUACCCUAGUAGUC
This 465-nucleotide ribosomal RNA is filed under the name Vreelandella stevensii. Its description in RNAcentral is "partial 16S ribosomal RNA". It matches the Rfam family "Bacterial small subunit ribosomal RNA", at positions 338 to 795 of the family's 1533-position model. Lineage: Bacteria; Pseudomonadati; Pseudomonadota; Gammaproteobacteria; Oceanospirillales; Halomonadaceae. The record is from RNAcentral.